Long non-coding RNA from Psammomys obesus (fat sand rat), 360 nucleotides. RefSeq lists it as uncharacterized. The transcript is spliced from 3 exons. The record is from RefSeq and is a predicted model, not a curated record. Lineage: Eukaryota; Metazoa; Chordata; Mammalia; Rodentia; Muridae.
UUUCACUUUCUUCUGCUGCUCUUCCCCCUCCUCUUCUUGCCUCCCCUGUCCCAUACCCACCUCCUUCCCAUGUGCCCAGGUCACGGUGAAGAGAGCCAAGGGCAAGGCCGGGGGACAAGUGUGCAAAAUAAAUGAAGUUUCAGGAGAUUGCUGCCCAGAGCAGGGCACUGCCCACUCAGACACAACCUGAACCCACAGGAUCCGACGGAAGUGAGAGCUCACGGUGGCUGGAGGCCAUUCAGAGUCCAGGCAGCCCGAAGCCCCCACCCCCAUGUGCCCACCCAGCCCCUUGCCCAGCCUUGGCUGUUCUGGAACUCACUGAGAUCCCCCGCCUCUCGGGCUGACGUUAAAGGCCUGCGC